This 2838-nucleotide ribosomal RNA is filed under the name Heterodermia speciosa. RNAcentral's name for it is "bacterial LSU rRNA". The stretch from base 120 to 2353 matches the Rfam family "Bacterial large subunit ribosomal RNA". The record is from RNAcentral. Lineage: Eukaryota; Fungi; Ascomycota; Lecanoromycetes; Caliciales; Physciaceae.
CUCAUUUGGGUUGAGGAAUUGUUAUGUUCGAAUCAUAAUGACCCGAUUUUAGUAUUACCUAAAACAUAAUACUAACGUAAACGAUAUGGAUAAUAUUUAUUUGUUAAUAAAUUUAUUAACAUAUAGUAUAUAAAGAGACUAUUAUGGAUAGAUAGCUAUAUAUUAAAGAGGGACAUAUAUAUUAUGUUGAUCCAACAUAAAUGCCAAAAAACAUACUCACUUGCUUAGUUAUAGCAUGAACUCUUAGUUGAAAUUCAAUAAAAAAACGAAGUGAAUUGAAAUAUCUUAUUAACUUCAGGAAUAUAAAUCAAACGAGAUUCUACAAGUAGUGUGAAUGAAAGUAGAAAAGCCUUAAAGUAAAAUGGAGUGCAUACCUGUUUGAAUAUAAAGGGGAAUCUUCCUCUAAGGCUAAAUAUAAUAUAUAAGCGAUAGCGAUACAAAGUACCGUGAGGGAAUAUCUUGAAAUAGUGGUUUUAUAAGCAGCUCAAGUAAAUUUUAAAUAAUAAGAGCGUACCUUUUGCAUAAUGGGUCAGUAAGUUAAUAUUAGAUGCGAGCAGUAAUGCGAAGAUAAACCAAUUGUGAAAGAAUGAUUUAGUAUCUAAAAUUAGACCCGAAGCCUAGUGAUCUUACCAUGAUCAGGAUUAUAAAAGUCCGAACGGUUUAUCGUUGUAAUGAUAUCCGAAGAAUUGUGGUAAGUUAGUGAAAGACAACACUGACUAGGAUAGCUGGUUUUCCGCGAAACCUAUAUUUGUAGGUAAUUUUAAUAACAUCAAAGCAGGUACAGAAUUGUGAUCUCAUGCAACUUUUAUAUUAAUUUAACAUUAAUGUACUUUUUGUGGACAUUGGGGGAUCGUGAAGAUUUUAUCAGUGAGUAUUUGUUCUCGGAAGGGCUUAGAUGAAUAUUGAAUAAUCAGACAUAGUACGAUAAGGUUGUAUGUCUAAAGGGAAAGAGCCCAGAACAAGAGUUAAUAAGGUUCCAAAAUUAUUGUUAAGUGAAAUAAAGGUAGUUUUUGUCCUAUUCGAUCAGGAAAUGGGCUUAGAAGCAGCCAUUUUUUAAAGACCUCGUAAUAGAGCACUGAUUAUACAGAAACAGAAAAAGACUUAGUGGACAAGAGCAUCUAAAAUUUAACGGAUCUAAAUAAUAUACCGAUACCUUGUACAUAUAGAUACAUAUAAAACGAAGCUUUGCCUAUUAAAGCUAUUCCAAUUUUCCUUAUAUUGCUUUUGUACUUUUUUUUCUUUUUUAUAACCGUGUGCUUUUUUUAAAAAUAAUAAAACUAUAAUAAAUAAUAAAUAAUAAAUAAUAAAUAAUAAAUACUAAAAUUUUACGUAUUUGCUUUUUCUUCUAGCUAUCCAAUUAUAUAGUCUAUAUGGGGUAGCGGAACGUUGGGUAAUUAUUAGAUUAUUUCUAUUUAAGAUUUAAAGAUAUCUAAAUCCCAAGUGAUAAUGCUGACAUGAGUAACGAUAAAGGAUAAUAUCCUCGCCUAAAGUUUAAGGAAGCUAAUUAUGUAACGGCCUCUAAGUUAUAGUUCUAACGUGCUAAACGAUGGAAAAAUCAUUGAAUAAAUAACAACUUUUGUUUUUUUGAGUAAAAGAGAUAUCUAUCUCAAAAAAUUGUGACAAAUGUUCUGGAAAAAAGAUGCUUUAAACCGUGCCUAGAAUCUAACACAAGAAAACUAGUAGAGAAUACGAAGGCGUUCGAGUGAACAAUCAUUAAGGAACUCGGCAAAUUGACUCGCGUAACUUCGGGAGAAGGUGGGCCAUUCCUGCUUAUUUAUAAAGUUAGGAAGAGGAGGCACAGAAUGGUGCUGUACGACUGUUUAAUUAAAACACAACACACUGCAAAGAUAAAAAUCGAAGUAUAGGGUGUGAUGUCUGCCCGAUGGCGGCUGGUUAACGGAUUUGCUUAGUUGAUUAAGUUAGGCUUUGAAGGAACCCCCGUUCAAUGGCAGCCUUACCUAUGAGGGUUCUAAGGUAGCGAAAUACCUUGGCCGUUAAAUGCGGUCUUGCAUGAAUGAUGUAACGAUACAGCAGCUGUCUCAAUGAUUGGCUCGGUGAAAUUGGAAUAACUGUGCAGAUACAGUUUACCUCUAGAUAGACGAGAAGACCCUAUGCAGCUUUACUGUUUCUAGUUAUUUGGUAUGAUAUAACCGGUUUUAGUGUAUAAGGUAGUUGGUAAGAUAUAAUUGAAACACCUUUACUUGGUUUAUCAUAUUGUAUCACCUUAAAAGUGGAACAUUUGCUAGGUGGCAGUUUAUGCGGGGAACAGAUCCCAUAAAUAGUACCUGGGUGUAUCCAAACUAUGUAAAGUUGCUAAAUGCAAUCAAACAUGCUUAGGUUUUGCCUACAUGUUUUUUAUUUUUACUUUGCUAUUGGUUAGAAAGAAUAAUAUAUAAUGUUUAAUUAAUUAACUGAUUCAGCUAUUACUCUAUUUAAGUUGGAGCUUUUUUUUUUAUCUAAGUAAGAUUUUACCUAUCAUAAAUAUAGUUGUAAUUAAAGUAUUAAUGAGAAAAAUAUAAAGUUGAAUCAACAAGAACAAGCGAAUAUUAUUUUUUGUAAUGGGAUAGCUAAAUUAAUCAAAAAACUUCUUUGUGUAUCUUCCGCUAAGUUGAGGAGAAAAACUUAAUUGUGUAUUUUCCACUAAAUUGAGGAGCAAAUACACAAAGAGUUUUACCUAUUUCAUAUUUUAAUUAACUUUUACUCUAAUGCUUUUUGUUAUUAAUUGAUCUAUUUGUCUCUUGUAUUACAUAUAUAGGUUUAAAUAGUUAAUUAAAUGAUAGUUUUUAUUACUUAUUAAGUUUAAUGGCUCAAUCUUGCUUUACUGAUUGACUUACACGU